CUUCAAGGAAUGGAGCAAACGGCGGAGCAGGGAUACUUUGGCCGGUUUCAUCUACUCCGCCUCUAAGUCCAAAUCAACAGGAUGUCGGUUUCUUUGAGGCUUUAGCACGAAUUUCUCGUCCUCCUUGUUAAAUUUUUGUUAAAUUCACAAUAUUAUAUACCAUUAGCCCGGGCGCUGUUCUUCCCAUUUCUGAAUUUAUAAAAGUAAAUUGGCACCAACUGCCUUUUUCUCAAUUCCCAUAUCAAACAAAAAAACGCACCUGCCCUUUGGCCUGUGCAUUUUUAU
RNAcentral lists this small RNA (285 nucleotides) under Bacillus spizizenii. RNAcentral's name for it is "SurA sRNA". It matches the Rfam family "SurA sRNA". RNAcentral also lists the same sequence under 1 other name. Lineage: Bacteria; Bacillati; Bacillota; Bacilli; Caryophanales; Bacillaceae. The record is from RNAcentral.